RNAcentral lists this long non-coding RNA (240 nucleotides) under Lathyrus oleraceus (garden pea). RNAcentral describes it as "Pisum sativum (pea) long non-coding RNA (PSAT_LNC017196)". Lineage: Eukaryota; Viridiplantae; Streptophyta; Magnoliopsida; Fabales; Fabaceae. The record is from RNAcentral.
UACAAAACCCAACUCAAGUCACAUUCAAGGUUUCAAUUAUUAGAAGUAUGGCCACUACUCUAAUGUUUGUCCUGAAAAACAAAAGAAUCAAGAAAAUGAUGCAAAGCAUGAAGAAGAAGAGAUAUUGUUGAUGGUCACAACAAGAGAUGAAGAAAGAUUCUAGGACCAAUGAUACUUGGAAUCUGGAUGCUCAUCACACAUGAUUGGUAGGAAAUAUUACUUUGUCAACAUGAAACCAUC